GACUUCAGGACACGUGGUCGCGCGGGUCGCUGCGCGGGAAGAUUGGGGGCGGCAGAGCUUGCGUCCAGUGUUACUAGACAUCCAGACCUGAAAAGCAUCCUGUCAGAAUCUGCAGAAUUUCAAAAGGAUUGAUGGGUUUGUAUGGAAGUUUUCAGCGUUCAGAAGCAUUAAAUCCUGCCCAACACCUGACCCGGGGGAGCGCUGAGCUUGGCCGCCGACCGCCGCCCGCACCUGCUCCCCCGCAGGGCCCCGUGUGCGGGGGCACAGCCCUGCGGAAACUUGUUGCCCCUGCAUUCCAGACCAAGGACACCGUGCUCGGAUGUGGACACGCUCGCCCGCGCCCGCUGCCCCUGUUACGUAAGCGCUGGAAAUGCGCCGGCGUGCCUGCGUAUGCAGUCUAUCAUCUGCGUAGCUGCUGCAGCGCAAAUAAACCGUGACUUGCUACGCAAACCUUCUCACACACCAGCAACUGCUCGCCACUGCACGCCUUCACCUGCCGGCUGGAACACUCACUCUUCACCCUCAUAGGUGAGGCUGGUGCUAAUUCGCUCCCUGCCUGCCCUGACCUGUCCCUCUGUCCUCCACGAGGGCUUCCCUGGAGGCUCAGAUGGUAAAGAAUCCGCCUGCGGUGUUGGAGACAUGGGUUCUACCCCUGGGUUGGGAAGAUCCCCUGGAGGAGGGCGUGACAACUCACUCCAGUCUUCUUGCCUGGAAAAUCCUGUGGACAGAGGAGCCUGGCGGGCUACAGUCUGAGGUCUCAAAGAGUCGGACAUGACUUAGCGACUAAGCACUGCAUAAUACACCCUCCAAAGAGCCCUUCCUGCUAAGCAGGCAAGAUGUGUUCUCAAGCCCUGCAGUCUUUUCCUCGCUCCUGGAAUGCCCUGCGUGCCUGCCUGCUCCACCCUACAAGUUUCAAGGUUACGCUGAGAUGGAACCCCCUCUGUGAAUGCUUCCUGGAUGUCGCCUUCCAUCUAGGUGACUUGUCACAUCCAAGGUCAGGAGCAGCUGCAUCAGACAACUUGGAAGAGAAUGCAUUCCUGAAGGGAAUGAACAUGGGAGGGAGGUUUGGAAAAUGGUACCAAAAAAUAAAUGCCGUCAAGGCUGCAUGAACUUUGAGUCAUUGUAGUCUGAGAUGCCCUUUCCUGGAGCAAAGAACUGACAGACCUGUCGUGUGCAUGCGUGCAAGCUCAGUUGCUUCGGUCAUGUCUGACUGUU
Molecule: long non-coding RNA, 1215 nt
Organism: Dama dama (fallow deer)
Lineage: Eukaryota; Metazoa; Chordata; Mammalia; Artiodactyla; Cervidae
Exons: 4
Source: RefSeq, a predicted model, not a curated record